This is a non-coding RNA of Triticum aestivum (bread wheat), 135 nucleotides long. NCBI's taxonomy places the organism in Eukaryota, Viridiplantae, Streptophyta, Magnoliopsida, Poales, Poaceae. The record is from Rfam.
CAUAUACUCCCUCCGUCCGGAAAUACUUGUCAUCAAAAUGUAUAAAAGGGGAUACAUCUAGACGUGUUUUAGUUCUAGAUACAUCUCUUUUUAUCUAUUUUGAUGACAAGUAUUUUCGGACGGAGGGAGUAGCAA